AGAAGAUUAAUUUAGUGUGGAGGGGUGGAAUCCGUACAUGUUAAGUUGUACUGUUGCUUCUUUUUUUUGACGCUUCGAAAACUAAACGAGAGACCGGGAUUAGAUACCCCGUUAUUUUUUUUGUAAAUUUUGAUUGUUGUUAAUUUACCUGAGUAUUACGGGUUAAAAUAUCUUCAUGACGAUAGAAUUUGGUUAUGGUGUUAUUUAGAUACUUAAAACUCAAAAAACUUGGCGGUGCCUUAUUUCCUCCCAGGGGAACCUGUCCUGUAAUCGAUGAUCCACGAUUAAUCUUACUUUUUCUUGAAUUUAUGCAGGUCAUACUAUCAGUUUGUAUACCGUCGUCGUCAGAUUACCUUUAAGAGUUAAAAAGUUGUCUGGUAAAUUGGAAAUUUAUCUGUAUGUUUAAAAGUGUGUAGUUAGAUUUAAUUUUUGAUGUCAGAUCAAGGUGCAGCUUAUGAGAAAGUAGAGAUGGGUUACAAUGUAGAUUUUACAUUAUGGAUACUGGCUUGAAAUAGCUAGGUGAAAGCGGACUUGGAAGUAAUUUAUUGGCAAAUUAGAUUAGUAAGUUUUUGUGAAUAUAGGUACUAAGGUGCGC
RNAcentral lists this ribosomal RNA (595 nucleotides) under Steromphala umbilicaris. RNAcentral's name for it is "partial 12S ribosomal RNA". It matches the Rfam family "Bacterial small subunit ribosomal RNA", at positions 657 to 1384 of the family's 1533-position model. The record is from RNAcentral. Lineage: Eukaryota; Metazoa; Mollusca; Gastropoda; Trochida; Trochidae.